This 362-nucleotide RNase P RNA is filed under the name Hahellaceae bacterium. Its description in RNAcentral is "RNase P RNA component class A". It matches the Rfam family "Bacterial RNase P class A". From Rfam's summary of the family: Ribonuclease P (RNase P) is a ubiquitous endoribonuclease, found in archaea, bacteria and eukarya as well as chloroplasts and mitochondria. RNAcentral also lists the same sequence under 1 other name. The record is from RNAcentral. Lineage: Bacteria; Pseudomonadati; Pseudomonadota; Gammaproteobacteria; Oceanospirillales; Hahellaceae.
GGAGUUUGCCAGACAGUCGCUGUCUGCACCGGUUUACCGGGGCAGGGGGAGGAAAGUCCGGGCUCCAUCGGGCAAGGUGCCAGGUAACACCUGGGCGGCGUGAGUCGAUGGAAAGUGCAACAGAAAGUAUACCGCCUACGUAGCUUCGGCUGCCGGUAAGGUUGAAAUGGUGCGGUAAGAGCGCACCGCAUGACUGGUAACAGUUCAUGGCGAUGGAAAACCCCACCUGGAGCAAGACCAAAUAGGGAUCCGUUAGGCGCGCCCACGCUGGAUCCGGGUAGGUCGCACGAGCCGAUUGGUGACAAUCGGCCCAGAUAAAUGACUGUCCACGACAGAACCCGGCUUAUCGGCAAACUCCUCUU